UCCUUGAGCUGGCUCAACUAGCGGUCUUCAAAAUUCCUUUUUCUACCAACCUGAGAGAGCUGGUUUGAUCCUAAUUUUGAGCUAGCUCGAUUGUCAAAAUCUAGAAACACCUUCUCUAUCAUCCUAAGAGAGUUGGCUCGGGUCCAUCUCUAGCUGGCUCGACGGCAUGCCAAGCCAAAAUAGUGAAGACAUACCAUACCAGAGUCGACUUGAUUCUU
RNAcentral lists this long non-coding RNA (218 nucleotides) under Elaeis guineensis (African oil palm). Its description in RNAcentral is "long non-coding RNA (EGUI_LNC048789)". The record is from RNAcentral. Lineage: Eukaryota; Viridiplantae; Streptophyta; Magnoliopsida; Arecales; Arecaceae.